RNAcentral lists this unclassified non-coding RNA (315 nucleotides) under fungal sp. Its description in RNAcentral is "partial internal transcribed spacer region". Lineage: Eukaryota; Fungi. The record is from RNAcentral.
AAGUCGUAACAAGGUUGGACAGCAAAAAAUUAAUGAUCCUUCCAUGUAGAAAUUUUUACUAAUUUUUACACUGGUUCAUUUGCUGAAGCCUGAGCAGCCACUUAGUUCAUUCUAUUUGGUGCCGAGGUUUCGUCCUUACUACAUUUCUGUCCGACCGAAGUGUUGUAGUCUGGCACCCACCAAUACACCAAUACUCACCCCUUUUUUUGCUAGUUGACUUUUAUCUGUUGUUCUUUUAUCCUUCGGGUGAGGAGCACACGUUUAAUUAUUUGAACGUUAAAAAUACAACUCUUAGCAAUGGAUAUCUUGGUUCUC